CAUGAGCCGCCCGCCUACGAGCAGAGCCUCAGCAACCCACAUCCCCACGGCAACCCCCACCCGCACCCACGCUCCCCCAGGACUGCCCGGCACGGGGGUGGCGUGGGCCCACCACCUCCACUUGCUCCCCCUCACCCCCGACGAGUCCCAAACGGUUACCGCUCGUCUUCGCCCUCCCCGCACCGGCGAGGGCCCCCACAUCAACACCCCCAUCCGGGAGGACCACCCCACAGGUCCCCCCCUCAUCACCGGGUCCCCCAUGGAGGCCCCAGAGGCCCCCGGAAGGGCCUGCACGAACCCUACAGCGAGACGGACGAGGACGACUGGUGCUAGCACAGCGAAGGAACAGAAGAACGAGGGAGGAGAGGAAGAGAGGAAAAGGAGGGAGGAGAGGAGUCUCUCCGUCUCCCCGUCCUCUGUUCUUCGUUAUGCAGACUUGAAUGAAGGGUAAAGGGAUGCAGAAGGGGUGAGGAAAGGAAAGGAAAGGAGGAGAGGAGAAUUUGGGAGAAGUCUCUCCAUCUCUCUACCUCUACACCUGAGACUCAGGCUUGGAUGGAAUGAUGAGGGAUGGAGGGAUGGUUAGAGGAGAGGAGGCACAGUGUGUGGGUGUGUGAGACUCUAAACUCAGAGCAGACAUGACAAAGAGAGACCGCUGUAAGGCAGAACAACGCACCUCUCCUCUUCUCCUCUGUCUCAACUACCAUACCGAGAGUUCUCAGCGUGCCCAGGGGGGAGUGGACCGAGGGAUGGUGGAGAGGUGCUGACGGAGGUGUGCAGAGGUGCUGACGGAGGUGUGGAGAGGGAAGAAAGAACAAAAGAAUGAAAGGAAGGGAGGAGCAUGUAUACUAAGUUACAAGUGGCCAAUGAACGGUAAAUAAAGCCCCUCUCCCAGACUGUUUAGGAGAUAGGUGGGUUAGUUAAGUUAAGCUAAACCUGGGUGCUCUUGCUGUUCUGUCAUUCUAUUCUACUAGCCUGAUAAGUGUUAGGAGCUAACAGCUAAACGCUAGCUAGCUAACACUGCUCUUGGUCUAACCUAGACGGACAUGUUUAAAAAAGAAAAACAAUGAAAACCCAUGCCAGGACCCCCUAUCCUUAUACACGCCAAGCUAUGCCUCCAGAAAAAUCUAACUUGAAGACUAAAGAACAGAAAACAAACUUUUAAAAAAAAAGAGGAGAAAAAAAGGGAGAACAACCACUUUAACUUAAACUUUCCUUAAAGGGACUAGAACCAGGAAGCUCCGCCUCUACUGCAAAAACCAGCCAAUGACAGAGCUGGCUGAUAUUUGAUGAGUUUUAUCAUCUCCUGUUUACUGUUACAGACUCACGAAAUGCUGACGACGGACCUGGUGUGACCUCACUUCCUGUGGGUGGGGCCUAGUGUGACAUCACGUCCUUUUCCGGUGGGUGGGGCCACAGGGGAGGGGCUGGGGGCAGAGUUAUGGACCCUUAGGGGGCGUAGUUUGUUUGCCCCCACUAUCUUCUCUCCCCCCUUCCUCUCUCCUCCAUCCUGCCGAAAAAGAAAGGACAGGAAAGGAAAAUGAUGGGAGGAGGAGCGGAAAGAAAGAAGGGGAGGGAAAAGACGAUUUCUUCAGUAUUUCUUCUAUCGAUUACUUCUUCUUCUUCUAGUUCUUCUUCUUGGACAUUGCAGCUUGGUUCUUCUGUUGCAUUCGCUCAAGCCUCUGUUAAUCCGUUAUGAUGCAUGAAGGAAUUUAACAACAAAAAAAUACCUAGAGAGAAAAUCUACUGUUGGGGAUAUGGGGGCAUAUUGGGUUUAUAGAACAUUUACAUUUUAGAUUUUGAUUGAAGAAGUUCUCUUUUUCUGACUCUCUCUCUCUCUCUCUCUGACUCUGUCUAUCAUCAUGCGUUUGUUUAUUGAGUAAAUGUUUGUUCUAUAUCACCCUAAGGAUCCGAUGGACAACCUUUUUUAAGUUUGAUUUCCACCCAAUAGGGUUUUAAAGCUACCAUUUUCUUAUCUUGAAAGUACUCCUAUGUUCCUGAGAUACUCCUAAAUUUUACUAAGAUACUCCUGUUGUACUAAGAUAUUCCUGAGUUGUUUUGAGGAAUAAGUAAGAAUUGAGAGAGCUAUGAGGAGAGAAAACUUCAACCUCUUUAAAUAAUUGAUUUGUAUUGUUAAUAAUGAUGAUAGUCCUAUAAAUACUGAUAUCAAUGUCAAUGCUAAACGAUGAAUGAUGAUAGUUGUUUGCCGUAGAUCUGUUGUCAUGUUUUUUGGAGUUUCAAUCUGCUGUGUCAUCUAGUUUUCAUCGUUUAUUUUCCUUGGGUUCUGUUCAAACUGUUCCCAAACUGUUCCCAAACUGCUCCCAAACUGUUCCAAAACGCCUUUAACCGGGUCCGAUACAUGCAACACGCAUAAACUUUUCAGGGAGGGGUUAGAUGUCGGAUUGUGAUUGUGAGCAACACAGAUAGAACUGUGUAGCGUUGUGUAACGCAGCUCUUUACCUCUGAUAGGUCCCCCCUCAGUGGUAGACAGAGAACCGGGGCCACGUUCAGUAGCCAAAUGUUGUCAAACGUUGCAGAUAGAAAUGUCAUUAACAGAGCCGACAUGGUUCUUCAUUCUACGUGUAAGAGACGCAUGUUUGUUCUAAAUAGCAUUUUUCUAUCCGAGCGUUCCAAAAACAUUGUGUCCUACUGAGUGCGCCCCAGUCAUAGCCAAAUCAACCGGCCAACCAACCAACCGUCAGACCUCCACACAGUAUCUGAUUUACAGCUGGCUGUGAACCAUAGAGUUAGAAAGAGGACUUAUAUCGGGUUAUAUCCACCUAGAGCCCUCUUUCUACCUCUAUGUUGUGAACGAGCUCCACCUCACAUCCCCAAGAGCUCUCCACUAGCUGUCUAGUCUCUCUGUCUUUCUGAUUCUCCAUCACAUGUUUAGCAUUGAGCUGCUUGCUUUACCAAGCCAGAGGAGAACAUUCUAGAAACAUUUUAGAAUCUCUAAGACGUUCUAGAAACUCUAGUCUAGACUCUAGAAACUCUAGUACAUUCUAGAGCAUUCUUUAGAGAGGUUAGCUAACAUGAUUGUAUCCAGAUGUUUUGGAUUAAAACAUAUUUAUUUUGCUAUGAUUACAAUUAUGUAGAUUGUAACAGAUAUUCCCUAUCAUAACUCGUAAAAUGAUAGAUACAAUAUAGAUAUAUAGAGAUAUAAAAGUUUAUAUAUUAUAGAGAGAAAAACGUACUUUUAUUUACUUCAAACACUCUAGCUACGAAGCUAGAGCUCAGAAACUCUCCAUUGAAAUCAGCUACACAGAUUCAAAUUGCACUUUGUCACUGUAGCUCCACACAAUAUCCCACUACAAACUCUAUGCAGAUCUAUCCAACAUUCAUUUCUCCUUUACCAUUAUAGUGCAGAGUAGUUGUGCCAUUAUAAAUAAAUGACAAUACGUAAGUGAGCGCAUAGAAAUGGAAUGUGUAGAACAGGCCUCCCAAUUCAAGUCAAUGAUGGCAUAUCUAUAGAUUAUAUUUCUAUGGGUCAGAUGGUGUAGUGUCAGAUAGUGUAUAUACAACAUUUUAAUAUAGAUGGAUAGAAGUAUAUAGAUAGAGGGUAUGCCCACAUCGUUUUGCUUUUGCACAAUCACUCACAAAAUCCUUAUCCUUCAUAGCACAUCUUUCCUUUAUUUUUUACCCUCCUGCAGUGUUUUGUCCUCUCCUGCUCCCUCUAUCGUUCUCCCAAGCUGUCCAAUCCCAUAUACCACCCCUGCCCUCCGUAUAGGUAGGUCCAGAGAGAGAGAGGGGGGGCCUACAUAUACCACCCCUGCCCUCCGUAUAGGUAGGUCCAGAGAGAGGGGGGGGCCUACAUAUACCACCCCUGCCCUCCAUAUAGGUAGGUCCAGAGAGAGAGAGGGGGGGCCUACAUAUACCACCCCUGCCCUCCGUAUAGGUAGGUCCAGAGAGAGGGGGGGGGGGCCUACAUAUACCACCCCUGCCCUCCGUAUAGGUAGGUCCAGAGAGAGAGGGGGGGCCUACAUAUACCACCCCUGCCCUCCGUAUAGGUAGGUCCAGAGAGAGGGGGGGGCUACAUAUACCACCCCUGCCCUCCGUAUAGGUAGGUCCAGAGAGAGGGGGGGGGGCUACAUAUACCACCCCUGCCCUCCGUAUAGGUAGGUCCAGAGAGAGAGAGGGGGGGGGGCCUACAUAUACCACCCCUGCCCUCCAUAUAGGUAGGUCCAGAGAGAGAGGGGGGGCUACAUAUACCACCCCUGCCCUCCGUAUAGGUAGGUCCAGAGAGAGGGGGGGCUACAUAUACCACCCCUGCCCUCCGUAUAGGUAGGUCCAGAGAGGGGGGGCUACAUAUACCACCCCUGCCCUCCGUAUAGGUAGGUCCAGAGAGAGAGGGGCCUACAUAUACCACCCCUGCCGUCCGUAUAGGUAGGUCCAGAGAGGGGGGGCUACAUAUACCACCCCUGCCCUCCGUAUAGGUAGGUCCAGAGAGGGGGGGGGUCCUACAUAUACCACCCCUGCCCUCUGUAUAGGUAGGUCCAGAGAGAGCGGGGGGCCUACAUAUACCACCCCUGCCCUCUGUAUAGGUAGGUCCAGAGAGAGGGGGGGGGACCUACAUCAGAGUGGUGUACCUACAUCAGAGAGGUGUUUAUCUACCCAGAAGCCCCAGUGCCUCAGUGCCUUCUGUUUUCAGAGUCACAUCUACCCUUCCCAGCUUGCCCCUCACCAUCCCCCUCGCCCCCUCCUGUGGUUGAUCAACAUCAAACACACUACGCCUUAAAGAGUCCUAGUCGCUGUCUGUGAGCAGGUAGCAGUUGGGAGCAAGGCAGUAGGGACUGGGCUUUGCUUAGUUGGUUGGAACAGUGAGUAAAGCGCAGGAAGAGAGGGGAAUGGAAACUACUUUUGGGGAUCUCCUUCGCCCAGUUUCACACAGUGUAGUGAGAUACUGUAAUUGCAGGGGCGAAAAGGCAAUGAUUUGUUUACUUCUCAGGUGUCUCUAGAGAUAGAUAGCUAGAUAGAUAGAAUCUACACUAUAUAAUAGGCACGCUAAGGCAGUUAGUCAGUUAUAUCAUAUAAUAUGAUAUAAAUUUAUAAAAUCACAUGAAAAAAUAUAGGCCUAGGGUUUGAGUUUCUGUAUGGUUUGUUAUCUGGCAUGGGCAUUUGUAAUGUCUUCCCUUCUUCCCUUAACCUCCAUUACAGACCACCUACCAUUCAUCAUGAAUCUGCCGCUGAAAACUACUUGCACUUGACACUGUGGGUGUCCACUUAUCAGGCAGGAAACUGAUUACUCCAUUUCGGCUCAACAACACCAACAUGCUUGUCCAGAAUUGUAACUGCGGAUCCAAAAUGGCCGACAUCGACACACAACACUGCCGUUGAAUUAAAGCAUGUUGUGUGGAUUGUGAGCUCCAACCAUUAUAAAAUGAAUGACCAUUUUAAGGGGUUUAUUUUGUUUAUAAAAAAAAAAAUAAUCCAGAAGAUUUGUGAAAAGGAGGAUUUACGAAGUUUCUAGUUUACUCUCAAUCAUUCAUCCAUCCUACGUUCCUAUCCAUUUAUUUGUUGUCUUUCCUUUCUAUUUCUGAUGUGACUUCUUGAUCGACUCAUCCGUUUGUCUCUCGUUCUCUCUAUCAUUUUUUCCUCCUCUUUGAGACAACAGACGUCCUCCGAAAGCCAAUCCAACCCCAUUCACUCAAUCAAUCAACUGUUGUGCGUUUGUGAAAUGAUGUAAAUGAUUGGUGUGUGAGGCUAGUGUGUGUUGAAACAGAAAUAAGGGCUCUCCUAACAAACUAAAGGGGUUUCAUGUGCAGGUACAGUAGUGCUGACAAAAGUCAUCUGUAUGUAUCUCAAACCAUACAGUGGUGUGGUCUCCCCUUGUACAGCACUAGGUGUGUGCAUGCGUGUGUGUUGGGGUCAAAGGGUUAGAGGUCAAAGGUCAGGGUGAGAGCGGGGGGGGGGCACGUUCCGCUGAGGUGAAACGUUCUGGAAAAGAACAGAUAGAAAUGUAAUGAAUAGAGCUGACACGACACCCUUUUCUGUCAGUCUGACAAGCAUAUCCGUUCUACUUGAUGCAUUUCUAUCUGAAUGUUUUCUGUAACAUUUGCACCCUCCUGAACAGACCCCGGUUAGAAGUAGUGUCACAAGUCACAUUAUUUCACAAAUGGCACUGGAACGUUCUUGGAUCAUUUUCUAGCUCCGCCUUCUUCCGCUUGCCAAUACAGCCUUCAUUAUGAUGUCAUCAGCUGCCAUUUUCUCAUUGACCUCCACCUGCAUCCCCCAGCUCAUUUUGGAGUGGAGGGUCACCAACCUCAUCAGGGAUGGGUUUACUGGCAUGACAGUGAGACAUUCCCCUGUGUGUUGUGUUCGUGUGUGUUUGCUACGUUUGUGUGUGUGUGUGUGUGUGUGUGUGUGUGUGUGUGUGUGUGUGUGUGUGUGUGUGUGUGUGUGUGUGUGUGUGUGUGUGUGUGUGUGUGUGUGUGUGUGUGUGUGUGAGAGUGAGAGAGUGUGUGCGUGCGUGCAUGUGUGAGAGCGUGCGUGCGUGUGAGUGAGUGCGUGCGUGCGUGCGUGAGUGCGUGUGUUCACACCUCAUCUACAGUAAGUUAUCUUCAGUGCCUUACACUGUACAGUAGGAACCAAAUCUCCUUUGUAGAUAGACAACACACACAGCACUGAAUAACGCUUUCAUAAUGUUUCCAUAACGUUUUCUCUCCAACUGUACUCUUCUCUCCAUCCAGUAUUGCCUCACCUCACCUACCAUCCUAUUCCUUCUCUCUCUGUGAUCGACAAGUAAGGUCUGGAGGGAGGGCAUGGGUGAAUGAAUAGGUGAUCGUUGUGUUGGAUCUGUCAUCCUUCUCUUUCUCUCUCUGUACAUUUGCUCUGUAAACUCUUCUUGUGUACAUCUUCCAUAAACUUUCUGAAACAAUCAGACCAUGUCCAUCUAUUUUCUCUUUUAUCGCCGCUCAAUUUAUUUUUCAACAUUUACAUUUCAAUCAUUUAGUAGAUGCUCUAAUCCAGAGCGACAUAGUGUCUACAACAUCACUCCCACUCUUCAAUUGUGCUUGAAGUCUCACUCAAGUAAUGUCCAUGUACAUGUUAUACCAUACAUGAACACAAGGUGGUGCACUCGUGCUUUUAACAGAGUGUACAUUGGUCGACAUAACGUAACAUUCAAAGGCCUAUGUGUAUGUUGUCAUUACAUUGCUUUCGCAGGUGAACGGGUGAGUAUCGUGUGUGUAUGUGCGCAUGUGCAUGUUUGGAGGCUUCAGUGAGUGUGUGUGUGUGUGCGUGUGCGUGCGUGUGUGUGUGUGUGUGUGUGCGUGUGCGUGCGUGUGUGUGUGUGCGUGCGUGUGUGUGUGUGUGUGUGUGUGUGUGUGUGUGUAUCUUUACGUGACAACACACACACAGCGACAACACCAAGAUUCUUGACGACCGUGGGUUGAUUCCCUAGAUAUGUGUGGAGCGUCUUCUACUGUCACAAUGGAAACCCUCAAGGCCCGUCACUCUUCAUUCCAUAAAGUCUCCCAACCAUCACAUUAUAAUAUCACAAUACCAUCAAUUUGUCCCAUAGACACUGAUAUGAGAUCCGUUUUCAGUGUUAACCUCCUUAUGGUGAAGCAUAGGAGUGAGGUGGGGUGAAUCUACAGUAGAAACCAUACCAUAUCAGUCCAGUGCCACAGUAGAGAACCAUACAGGACAGGAGUCAUUUUAGGAAGCAAGAAGAGAAAAUACACUACAUACACUACAUGGCAAUUUAAGGUAAAAAGAGAAGUAUUUAAAUAACAGAUUUGCAUGUGCAAUGUGCAUGCCACUACGUGGGGUUAAAUAAGUCAACUUCAGGAAUAAAAUUAAAAAAUAAUAUAAAGAGAAAAAAUAAAGUAUAUAUAUAUAUGUAUAAAUAUAUAUAGAUAGAUGUUUUUAAGAGCAAUGUGUUCCUUUUUCUUCUAUUUUUAAAAACAAAAAACUGGAGAAAAAAACUUGGACAAAAAAAAAUAGAUAGAAAAUCUUUAAAAAGAAGCAGAACUUUGGUGAUGUAAUCAAAGAAUGUUUUUGUUUGCUACUUGCCAGUUAUUUCACUAAAGAGGGGGAACUGCGACGGCGGGGCGGUAGACGAUUUAACACUUUAAACAAAAUGUUGAAACAUUACAUUACAACAACAAAAAUGAAGAAAAGAUAAAUAAAAGAUAAACGUGGAAUGAAGGAAUACAUUUUUCCUUAAAGAAAAACAAAAAUCCCUUGAUUGAGAGUCUUGAGAGCUGCCUCAUGAUUCUAUUUCUGAUUUUACCCGUUUAUUCUGGCUAUGAAAUCUCUUUCUCUCUCUAUCUCUCUGCUAUUUCUACCAGUGCAUUUUGUUACUCCGAACAGAACUCUUCCUAAGGAACCUGAAUAAAACCAGAGAGAAUGCAUUCUACC
Molecule: long non-coding RNA, 8358 nt
Filed under: Salmo salar (Atlantic salmon)
Lineage: Eukaryota; Metazoa; Chordata; Actinopteri; Salmoniformes; Salmonidae
Description: lncRNA (ENSSSAG00000109536.1)
Source: RNAcentral